This 22-nucleotide non-coding RNA is filed under the name Arabidopsis thaliana (thale cress). The record is from RNAcentral. Lineage: Eukaryota; Viridiplantae; Streptophyta; Magnoliopsida; Brassicales; Brassicaceae.
CUUUGAUUAUCUUUCUUGUCGU